Molecule: long non-coding RNA, 205 nt
Filed under: Elaeis guineensis (African oil palm)
Lineage: Eukaryota; Viridiplantae; Streptophyta; Magnoliopsida; Arecales; Arecaceae
Description: long non-coding RNA (EGUI_LNC047422)
Source: RNAcentral
UCUUGCUCUCCAUCAAAAUCUCAAGCCCUAAUUUUCAAAAUCCAUAACAAUCAACCCUAAACCCUCUUCUCCUCAUUUCCAUCCAUCCUUCAUCCUUCUCUAUUCUCUUGACCAAUUCUCCUACUCUCUUUGGAACAAUGGGCCCCAAGAUGCGGUUGCCACAAGGAAGAAAGUCAGUGAGGUCCUUAGAGGCUGGAGAACGAAG